Molecule: ribosomal RNA, 1141 nt
Filed under: Candidatus Synechococcus spongiarum
Lineage: Bacteria; Bacillati; Cyanobacteriota; Cyanophyceae; Synechococcales; Synechococcaceae
Description: bacterial SSU rRNA
Rfam family: Bacterial small subunit ribosomal RNA
Source: RNAcentral
CGAAAGCCUGACGGAGCAACGCCGCGUGAGGGAUGGAGGCCUUUGGGCUGUAAACCUCUUUUCUCAAGGAGGAAGAUCUGACGGUACUUGAGGAAUAAGCCACGGCUAAUUCCGUGCCAGCAGCCGCGGUAAUACGGGAGUGGCAAGCGUUAUCCGGAAUUAUUGGGCGUAAAGCGUCCGCAGGCGGCCGUUUAAGUCUGUUGUUAAAUCGUGGAGCUCAACUCCAUCACGGCAAUGGAAACUGUUCGGCUUGAGUAUGGUAGGGGCAGAGGGAAUUUCCGGUGUAGCGAUGAAAUGCGUAGAUAUCGGGAAGAACACCAGUGGCGAAAGCGCUCUGCUGGGCCAUUACUGACGCUCAUGGACGAAAGCCAGGGGAGCGAAAGGGAUUAGAUACCCCUGUAGUCCUGGCCGUAAACGAUGAACACUAGAUGUUGGGGGAAUCGACCCCCUCGGUGUCGUAGCUAACGCGUUAAGUGUUCCGCCUGGGGAGUACGCACGCAAGUGUGAAACUCAAAGGAAUUGACGGGGGCCCGCACAAGCGGUGGAGUAUGUGGUUUAAUUCGAUGCAACGCGAAGAACCUUACCAAGGCUUGACAUCCUGCGAAUCUCUAAGAAAUUAGAGAGUGCCUUCGGGAACGCAGUGACAGGUGGUGCAUGGCUGUCGUCAGCUCGUGUCGUGAGAUGUUGGGUUAAGUCCCGCAACGAGCGCAACCCACGUUUUUAGUUGCCAGCAUUCAGUUGGGCACUCUAGAAAGACUGCCGGUGACAAACCGGAGGAAGGUGUGGACGACGUCAAGUCAUCAUGCCCCUUACGCCUUGGGCUACACACGUACUACAAUGCUGCGGACAAAGAGUAGCGAUCUUGCGAAAGUUAGCUAAUCUCAUAAACCGUGGCUCAGUUCAGAUCGUAGGCUGCAACUCGCCUACGUGAAGGAGGAAUCGCUAGUAAUCGCAGGUCAGCAUACUGCGGUGAAUACGUUCCCGGGCCUUGUACACACCGCCCGUCACACCAUGGAAGUUGGCCAUGCCCGAAGUCGUUACUCUAACCUUUUGGAAGAGGGCGCCGAAGGCAGGGCUAAUGACUGGGGUGAAGUCGUAACAAGGUAGCCGUAGCGGAAGCUGCGGCUGGAUCACCUCCUAA